GACGAACGCUGGCGGCGUGCUUAACACAUGCAAGUCGAACGGGAAGGCCCCAGCUUGCUGGGGUACACGAGUGGCGAACGGGUGAGUAACACGUGGGUGACCUGCCCUUCACUUCGGGAUAAGCCUAGGAAACUGGGUCUAAUACCGGAUAGGAGCUCACCCUGCAGGUUGGGUGGAAGGUAUUUUCGGGGGUGGGGGGGGGCGCCGCCUGUCAUCUUGUUGGUGGUGUAAUGGCCUACCAAGGCGGCGACGGGUAGCCGGCCUGAGCGGGUGGCCGGCCACAUUGGGACUGAGACACGGCCCAGACUCCUACGGGAGGCAGCAGUGGGGAAUAUUGCACAAUGGGCGGAAGCCUGAUGCAGCGACGCCGCGUGGGGGAUGACGGCCUUCGGGUUGUAAACUCCUUUCACCUUAGACGAAGGGUUUAUGACGGUAGAGGGAGAAGAAGCACCGGCUAACUCCGUG
This 465-nucleotide ribosomal RNA is filed under the name uncultured bacterium. RNAcentral's name for it is "partial 16S ribosomal RNA". It matches the Rfam family "Bacterial small subunit ribosomal RNA", at positions 28 to 507 of the family's 1533-position model. The record is from RNAcentral.